Molecule: ribosomal RNA, 489 nt
Filed under: uncultured bacterium
Lineage: Bacteria
Description: partial 16S ribosomal RNA
Rfam family: Bacterial small subunit ribosomal RNA
Source: RNAcentral
GACGAACGCUGGCGGCGUGCUUAACACAUGCAAGUCGAACGGUGAAGGGAUCAGCUUGCUGGUUCUGGAUGAGUGGCGAACGGGUGAGUAACACGUGAGUAACCUGCCCCCUUCUUCUGGAUAACCGCAUGAAAGUGUGGCUAAUACGGGAUAUUCUGCGCCUGCUGCAUGGCGGGUGUGGGAAAGAUAUUGUUUCGGUGGGGGAUGGGCUCGCGGCCUAUCAGCUUGUUGGUGGGGUGAUGGCCUACCAAGGCGGUGACGGGUAGCCGGCCUGAGAGGGUGGACGGUCACACUGGGACUGAGACACGGCCCAGACUCCUACGGGAGGCAGCAGUGGGGAAUAUUGCACAAUGGGCGCAAGCCUGAUGCAGCGACGCCGCGUGAGGGAUGGAGGCCUUCGGGUUGUGAACCUCUUUCGCCAGUGAAGCAGGCCUGUCCCUUGUGGGUGGGUUGACGGUAGCUGGAUAAGAAGCGCCGGCUAACUACGUG